AUUAAUAAGCGGAGGAAAAGAAACUAACAAGGAUUCCCCCAGUAACGGCGAGUGAAGCGGGAAUAGCUCAAAUUUGAAAUCUCCGACGCUUGCGUCGGCGAGUUGUAGUUGCGAGAAGCACUUUCUCGGCGGAUCGGGCGUGCCUAAGUUGCUUGGAACAGUACGUCGCAGAGGGUGACAACCCCGUUUGUGGCACGGCCGACCGCUCACGAUGUGCUUUCGAAGAGUCGGGUUGUUUGGGAAUGCAGCCCAAAACGGGUGGUAAACUCCAUCUAAAGCUAAAUAUUGACGUGAGACCGAUAGCGAACAAGUACCGUGAGGGAAAGAUGAAAAGAACUUUGAAAAGAGAGUUAAAAAGUACGUGAAACCGUUGGAAGGGAAACGAAUGGACUCAGCAAUGCGCCGUUUGAGAUUCAGCCGGCCGGCGGGAUCGGCUCGGGGUGUGCGGAUCCGAAUGGACCGCCGUCUCGGGCUCGUUUCUCCCGGCCGUCGCACUUCUCUUGGGCGCACGUCAACGUCGGUUGGGACUGGGUCUGAAAGGUUCCGGGAAGGUAGGUCCGCGCGUUCCUCGCGUUCGCGCGCUCUGUUACAGCCCGGUUCUCUUGCGGCUCGGGCCCGACCGAGGCGGUCGCAGCGCACGCCUCUUUUGGCUAGGGUCCCGUCCGUCCGGCCGGUCGUCGACCGCGGUGGACUGCUUGCAGUGCUCCGCGACUGCUGCCGGUCGUUCGGGCGGUGAUCUCGUACCAUGCGCUAAGGAUGUUGGCGG
RNAcentral lists this ribosomal RNA (766 nucleotides) under Rhizopsammia wettsteini. RNAcentral's name for it is "partial large subunit ribosomal RNA". It matches the Rfam family "Eukaryotic large subunit ribosomal RNA", at positions 42 to 632 of the family's 3401-position model. Lineage: Eukaryota; Metazoa; Cnidaria; Anthozoa; Scleractinia; Dendrophylliidae. The record is from RNAcentral.